GAGAUGGCGCUUUAGCUCUCUCGCUAUGCAUGUCGGGAACAGCGUUUGUUUAUCAUAUUUAAAACGGUGGAAAGUUUGUAUUUUGGUUUUAUAUAAAUUUUUUAUCUGUUACACGUUUUUUUUUAAUUUUAAAGAACUAAGAACUCACAAUGGAUAUAGAAAAUCUAAAGCGUUUGUUAGAAGAAAAAGAUAAAACUCUGGAAAUUGCUGCUCACUAUGGGAAAAAAUUAUUAGAAGAUAACAGACAAUUGAGUGAAAGAUUAGAAAAACAAAAUAAAGAACAUGUGAAGAAAAUAGAGGAACUUGAACAACAAAAACAUUCACUUCAGAUGGCCAUGGAAUUGAAAAAUCGAAUGGAAAAUUCGCACGUAGUGGAAAUUGAAAGUUUAAAAGAAAAUUUAGAAACACUACAUAAUUUAAAUAAAGAAUUAAAUGAGAGGGAUACAGAGCAAAGAAGAAAACUUUCUGAUUUGAAUAAACAGAUUAAUUAUUUAGAAGAGAUUCAAGAAAAAAUACUUCAAAAUGAAACUAAGUGGAAAGAAAAAGUUUUAUUAUUAGAAGAACAGUUAAGAACUUUACAAGAGCAAUUACAUCAUUCUAAUGUAAAUGAUGAUAGUUAUAGUGAUGAAACAAGUAACUUAAGAGCAGAGUUUCAACAAAUGAUAAUUGAUAAGCAAAUAUUGGAAAAUACAAUAACAGAUCUGAAUCAUGAGUUGGAGACAUUUCAAAGUCAAGAAAGAAAAAUAGUUGAAAAUUAUAAUAAAAUUCAAGAAGAAUUAAGUAAUAAAGAUACAGAAAUUAAAAAUUAUAAAGAAAAUAUAGAGGAAUGUAAAGAUGAAAUUUGUAUGCUGAAAGCUGAAAUAGAGAAUCUUAAAUUUGGACAAACUGAUCCAAAUCGUCGUGGUAAUUCACUUUUUGUUGAAGUAGAUGAUAAACGCAAACAAGUGGAAAAAGAAUUAGUAUCUCUGAGAGUUAAAUAUCAAGCCAGUAAAGAAUCACUACAGUUUGCAAGACAACAAAUGAAUAAAAUGAAAUAUCAAAUGUCAACACUUUGGAAUAUGGCAUCAGUAAAGGCAGAUGCAGUUUACAUAGAAAAACUUGAACAGUCUUUAUUUCAAAGUAAACAAGAAAUACAAGAACUUAAUCAACAACUUCAAAAAAGAAGAGAGUUAGAAUCAAAUAAUAAUAUUGUAAAUGAUAAAUUACAGGCACCAGAUUAUUUGAAAGCUAUGUAUCAACAAUCUCAAAAAGAAGUUAAUUCUCUGAAUAAACAAGUUCAACAAUUACUUUUUCUUAAAGCAGCUGAAACUGAUAAAUUAAUACAAUGUCAGCAAAAUCUUUACCAAGAAAAAAAGAAAUCAUCUCAGUUAAGGAGUGAAGUUUUACAGCUCAAGUUAAAAAUUGAUGAAUUAAAACAAUCUGAACAUGAAACAAUAAAGCCAAAGUCAAUAACAGAAAAAUUAUCUGAAUUUAAAACAGAGGAGAAGGAAUUUACAGAUAAAGAGAACAUUCAUAAAAAAUUUCAUUCAGAUGAAUCAGAAAAUCAGGAACUGUCUAAAAGUAACAUUGUUGAAAAAAACAAGCAAUCAUUUCCUAAAAAUUUGAAUGAAGGGAUAUUAAAAGAAAAUCAACAGAAAGCAACUGCUCCUUGCAUCAGUAUUUCAAGUGACUCUAUUAAUUCUUGUCCUCAACAAUGAUAAAAACAUAUUAUAUAAAGCUGCUUUGUUAUUCUAAAAACAAAAGUCCAAUAUUAAUUGGAAUAAAAGACAAGAUGACAAAGCAAUUGGAUACAUGAAAAUGGAAGAUGUUGCUACUCCAGCAAGUGGAGCAUGGAAUGGAAAAGUUUUUUGGCAGCAGAAGUGUGUUUGCAAUAUCACACUAGUGAUAUUGCAAACACACAUGUCCUGCAUGGAAAUAUGGAAUGUUCUGCUAAGAUCUUGCACUUUUAUCUAUAUAAAAUACAAUCAGGAAUGAUUUCUGAUAAUGAUAAGUGGAAAAACAUUUGCCAUUGAUCAGUUGAUGAUACAUUGGACAUGACAAAUUCUGUAUGAUCAUUUUCAUUUUCUCUUGUGAAAAAAUGUUACAGCACAGAGAAUUGCACAUUUAAGCCAAUUCAUGGCGAUGCAUCAUCUUGCAUACAGAUUGCUGUGUUCAGACAAUUUUCUCUGUUGCAGUGUUGGAAUGACAAACUAUUGAAGCAUAUCUCCAAAUAAACUGGAAUUAACAGAAACAUGUUACUGGACUAGAUGCAAAGUUUUCAAAAAGAUAAGAACCAAUGAUAAAGGUUAUUGUGAAACUAUACCACACUGUUAUUUUUGAUGAGAGUGAUGAAAUUUUUGUCACAUUAAAUAUGACAGUUGAGUGUUUACAGUGAUUAAUCAACAGGUGUGUGACUGUAGUUUACCUGAUUUCCUUGACUCCUCCCUAAUUGUAGCCAGUAGUGGCUACUGUUAAGGAGCUACUAUUUGCUACCAUUAGGGAGGGGUCAAGGAAAUCAGGGAAACUUAGAGACUCGAAUAAACCACAUCAAUGUAACGUAUGACGGGAGAAAUCAUAUCAAAAAAGCAUUGAAGUUUUAGCAUGAGCUGACUUUUCUCAAUUUCUGGGUUACAAGCACAAUCCAACUACAAUGCUUAUUGGAUGUUGCAACAUGCAUCUCAUUCUUUUUUUCUUUACUUUUUAUUAUUUUAAUUCCAAUUUUUCAAGAGAAUUUGUGAGGCAAUACCCCACACCAACUUUGAGAAUUCUAAAUAGUAACUCUUAUACAAUUAAUAGACAUCACAUUUCAGAACUUUUAACACACAAUUUUUCAACAAGUUUUGGGAUUCGAUGCACAGUUAAUUGUUCAUAAAACAUAUAAAGGACAGACUCCAA
RNAcentral lists this unclassified non-coding RNA (2874 nucleotides) under Centruroides sculpturatus (bark scorpion). Its description in RNAcentral is "protein Spindly-B-like, transcript variant X1". Lineage: Eukaryota; Metazoa; Arthropoda; Arachnida; Scorpiones; Buthidae. The record is from RNAcentral.